Non-coding RNA from Lingula anatina, 118 nucleotides. The record is from Rfam. NCBI's taxonomy places the organism in Eukaryota, Metazoa, Brachiopoda, Lingulata, Lingulida, Lingulidae.
GUCAGGAUGGCCGAGCGGUCUAAGGCGCCAGACUCAAGGUGAUCCUUACCUGUUGCCGCGCAGGUGUGAGUGUUCUGGUCCACGAAUGUGGGCGUGGGUUCGAAUCCCACUCCUGACA